This 417-nucleotide long non-coding RNA is filed under the name Monodelphis domestica (gray short-tailed opossum). RNAcentral describes it as "lncRNA (ENSMODG00000047988.1)". Lineage: Eukaryota; Metazoa; Chordata; Mammalia; Didelphimorphia; Didelphidae. The record is from RNAcentral.
AUCUGUCUGUUGGAAGGAUAUGCAAUUGAUGUGCUUAUAAAAGUAUGACAAGGAAUAAAAAUAUGGAUAUGAUGGUCAUCAGGCAUGAGCGUGCUAUCAGAAUGGAGUUGAGGCUGGUGAGAAGGGGCAGAAGAAUCUGCUGACUGGACUGACACAUGCUGAGCGAAAAGCUGACUCUUAACUGCUGAUUUUCUCUGAAGAAACCAGCCUCAGGAAAGACCUAUUCCUCUUAAGAAACUUCCUGGGUCCUUGGCUUUGCCGAGGCCAGCUGAAACUAACACUCGCUGCAGGGUGGCAGGAAUUACUUGGUGCUGUGGCUAGAUAUCUUACCUUAUUCUGUCUCUGAUUUCUUGCUUCACUCCUACAUUUUGUAAUGAAAUUGUAAAUAAAAUCUCUGGAAUUAAUUCCUGGUGACCA